This 635-nucleotide ribosomal RNA is filed under the name uncultured Campylobacterota bacterium. Its description in RNAcentral is "bacterial SSU rRNA". It matches the Rfam family "Bacterial small subunit ribosomal RNA", at positions 841 to 1479 of the family's 1533-position model. The record is from RNAcentral. Lineage: Bacteria; Pseudomonadati; Campylobacterota.
CAGUAAUACAGUUAACACAUUAAGUGUACCGCCUGGGGAGUACGGUCGCAAGAUUAAAACUCAAAGGAAUAGACGGGGACCCGCACAAGCGGUGGAGCAUGUGGUUUAAUUCGAAGAUACGCGAAAAACCUUACCUGGCCUUGACAUUGAUAGAAUCCUGUAGAGAUACGGGAGUGCCGGCUUGCCGGAACUUGAAAACAGGUGCUGCACGGCUGUCGUCAGCUCGUGUCGUGAGAUGUUGGGUUAAGUCCCGCAACGAGCGCAACCCACGUCCUUAGUUGCCAGCAUUUCGGAUGGGAACUCUAAGGAGACUGCCUUCGCAAGGAGGAGGAAGGUGUGGACGACGUCAAGUCAUCAUGGCCCUUACGGCCAGGGCUACACACGUGCUACAAUGGGGCGUACAAAGAGCAGCAAUACCGCGAGGUGGAGCAAAUCUCAAAAACGCCUCCCAGUUCAGAUUGCACUCUGCAACUCGAGUGCAUGAAGUUGGAAUCGCUAGUAAUCGUAGAUCAGCAUUGCUACGGUGAAUACGUUCCCGGGUCUUGUACUCACCGCCCGUCACACCAUGGGAGUUGAUUUCACCCGAAGCGGGGAUGNUAAAGUAGCUACCUUUCACGGUGGAAUCAGCGACUGGG